UGGGGAAUAUUGGACAAUGGGCGAAAGCCUGAUCCAGCCAUGCCGCGUGUGUGAAGAAGGUCUUCGGAUUGUAAAGCACUUUAAGUUGGGAGGAAGGGCAGUAAGCGAAUACCUUGCUGUUUUGACGUUACCGACAGAAUAAGCACCGGCUAACUCUGUGCCAGCAGCCGCGGUAAUACAGAGGGUGCAAGCGUUAAUCGGAAUUACUGGGCGUAAAGCGCGCGUAGGUGGUUCGUUAAGUUGAAUGUGAAAGCCCCGGGCUCAACCUGGGAACUGCAUCCAAAACUGGCGAGCUGGAGUAGGGCAGAGGGUGGUGGAAUUUCCUGUGUAGCGGUGAAAUGCGUAGAUAUAGGAAGGAACACCAGUGGCGAAGGCGACCACCUGGGCUCAUACUGACACUAAGGUGCGAAAGCGUGGAGAGCAAACAGG
RNAcentral lists this ribosomal RNA (429 nucleotides) under Pseudomonadota bacterium. RNAcentral describes it as "Proteobacteria bacterium partial 16S ribosomal RNA". It matches the Rfam family "Bacterial small subunit ribosomal RNA", at positions 355 to 776 of the family's 1533-position model. Lineage: Bacteria; Pseudomonadati; Pseudomonadota. The record is from RNAcentral.